GCCUUUGUGGUGUAGUGGUCAGCACCCUCGAUGCGUAAUCGAGAGGUCCGUGUUUCGACUCCCGGUGAAGACG
RNAcentral lists this transfer RNA (73 nucleotides) under Stegodyphus mimosarum. It matches the Rfam family "tRNA". From Rfam's summary of the family: Transfer RNA (tRNA) molecules are approximately 80 nucleotides in length. The record is from Rfam by way of RNAcentral. Lineage: Eukaryota; Metazoa; Arthropoda; Arachnida; Araneae; Eresidae.